RNAcentral lists this ribosomal RNA (433 nucleotides) under uncultured bacterium. RNAcentral's name for it is "partial 16S ribosomal RNA". It matches the Rfam family "Bacterial small subunit ribosomal RNA", at positions 29 to 507 of the family's 1533-position model. The record is from RNAcentral.
AACGAACGCUGGCGGCAUGCCUAACACAUGCAAGUCGAACGAGACCUUCGGGUCUAGUGGCGCACGGGUGCGUAACGCGUGGGAACCUGCCCUUAGGUUCGGAAUAACUUCCCGAAAGGGGCGCUAAUACCGGAUAAUGCCUUCGGACCAAAGAUAUAUUGCCAUUUGAUGGGCCCGCGUUGGAUUAGCUAGUUGGUAGGGUAAAAGCCUACCAAGGCGACGAUCCAUAGCUGGUCUGAGAGGAUGAUCAACCACACUGGGGCUGAGACACGGCCCAGACUCCUACGGGAGGCAGCAGUGGGGAAUAUUGGACGAUGGGCGAGAGCCUGAUCCAGCAGUGCCGCGUGAGUGAUGAAGGCCUUAGGAUUGUAAAGCUCUUUUGCCCGGGAUGAUAAUGACAGUACCGGGAGAAUAAGCUCCGGCUAACUCCGUG